RNAcentral lists this transfer RNA (76 nucleotides) under Serratia symbiotica. RNAcentral describes it as "tRNA-Val". It matches the Rfam family "tRNA". Rfam says of the family: Transfer RNA (tRNA) molecules are approximately 80 nucleotides in length. Lineage: Bacteria; Pseudomonadati; Pseudomonadota; Gammaproteobacteria; Enterobacterales; Yersiniaceae. The record is from RNAcentral.
GGGCGAUUAGCUCAGUUGGGAGAGCACCUCCCUUACAAGGAGGGGGUCACUGGUUCGAGCCCGUUAUCGCCCACCA